AUCCUGGCUCAGGAUGAACGCUAGCUACAGGCUUAACACAUGCAAGUCGAGGGGAAACGAUAUUGGAAGCUUGCUUCUGAUAGGCGUCGACCGGCGCACGGGUGAGUAACGCGUAUCCAACCUGCCCAUCACUUGGGGAUAACCUUGUGAAAGUAAGACUAAUACCCAAUGACGUCUCUAGAAGACAUCUGAAAGAGAUUAAAGAUUUAUCGGUGAUGGAUGGGGAUGCGUCUGAUUAGCUUGUUGGCGGGGUAACGGCCCACCAAGGCGACGAUCAGUAGGGGGUUCUGAGAGGAAGGUCCCCCACAUUGGAACUGAGACACGGUCCAAACUCCUACGGGAGGCAGCAGUGAGGAAUAUUGGUCAAUGGACGAGAGUCUGAACCAGCCAAGUAGCGUGCAGGAAGACGGCCCUAUGGGUUGUAAACUGCUUUAUAAGGGAAUAAAGUGAGUCUCGUGAGACUUUUGCAUGUACCUUAUGAAUAAGGACCGGCUAAUUCCGUG
RNAcentral lists this ribosomal RNA (503 nucleotides) under uncultured bacterium. RNAcentral describes it as "bacterial SSU rRNA". It matches the Rfam family "Bacterial small subunit ribosomal RNA", at positions 16 to 507 of the family's 1533-position model. The record is from RNAcentral.